AACGAACGCUGGCGGCAUGCCUAACACAUGCAAGUCGAACGAGACCUUCGGGUCUAGUGGCGCACGGGUGCGUAACGCGUGGGAACCUGCCCUUAGGUUCGGAAUAACUCCCCGAAAGGGGUGCUAAUACCGGAUAAUGUCUUCGGACCAAAGAUUUAUCGCCUUUGGAUGGGCCCGCGUUGGAUUAGCUAGUAGGUAGGGUAAAAGCCUACCAAGGCGACGAUCCAUAGCUGGUCUGAGAGGAUGAUCAGCCACACUGGGACUGAGACACGGCCCAGACUCCUACGGGAGGCAGCAGUGGGGAAUAUUGGACAAUGGGCGAAAGCAUGAUCCAGCAAUGCCGCGUGAGUGAUGAAGGCCUUAGGGUUGUAAAGCUCUUUUACCCGGGAUGAUAAUGACAGUACCGGGAGAAUAAGCUCCGGCUAACUCCGUG
RNAcentral lists this ribosomal RNA (433 nucleotides) under uncultured bacterium. Its description in RNAcentral is "partial 16S ribosomal RNA". It matches the Rfam family "Bacterial small subunit ribosomal RNA", at positions 29 to 507 of the family's 1533-position model. The record is from RNAcentral.